RNAcentral lists this ribosomal RNA (254 nucleotides) under uncultured bacterium. RNAcentral's name for it is "partial 16S ribosomal RNA". It matches the Rfam family "Bacterial small subunit ribosomal RNA", at positions 524 to 776 of the family's 1533-position model. The record is from RNAcentral.
UACGGAGGGCGCGAGCGUUGUCCGGAAUUAUUGGGCGUAAAGAGCUUGUAGGCGGUUUGUCGCGUCUGCUGUGAAAGGCCGGAGCUUAACUCCGUGUAUUGCAGUGGGUACGGGCAGACUAGAGUGCAGUAGGGGAGACUGGAAUUCCUGGUGUAGCGGUGGAAUGCGCAGAUAUCAGGAGGAACACCGAUGGCGAAGGCAGGUCUCUGGGCUGUAACUGACGCUGAGAAGCGAAAGCAUGGGGAGCGAACAGG